This 390-nucleotide ribosomal RNA is filed under the name Triticum aestivum (bread wheat). RNAcentral describes it as "partial small subunit ribosomal RNA". The record is from RNAcentral. Lineage: Eukaryota; Viridiplantae; Streptophyta; Magnoliopsida; Poales; Poaceae.
AUGCUCAAGCAGCUUAAUCCAGGUUUUUCCAUUGAAAAAUACUUUCCAAAUAACCCUUUAUGCUUUCCAGAAAUUCUACGUCAUUUCCGAUCAUUAAUAUGUCAACAACAUAUACUCAUCAGAAAUUCUAUAGUGCUCCCACUCACUUCUUUGGAAAUACAAGUUUCUCAUAAACUUUGUAUACACCCAAAAUCUUUGAUCAUCAUCAAAGCAUACAUUCCAACUCCGAGAUGCUCACUCCAGUCCUCAGAAGGAUUGCUGGAGCUUUGCAUACUUAUUAGCAUAUUUCAGGAUGGACAAAACCUUCCGGUUGUAUCACAUACAACCUUUCCUCAAAAAUCGUCGAGGAAACAACGUUUUGACAUCCUAUCUGCAAGAUUUCAUAAAUAA